UACCAGCUCUCCGAGUGGUGUGGAUGUUUAUUGGGCCUAAAGCAUCCGUAGCUGGCUGGACAAGUCCCCUGUUAAAUCCACCGAUUUAAUCGUUGGUGUGCGGGGGAUACUGUUCGGCUAGGGGACGGGAGAGGCAGACGGUAUUUUCGGGGUAGGGGUGAAAUCCUAUAAUCCCGGGAAGACCACCAGUGGCGAAGGCUGUCUGCUAGAACGCGCCCGACGGUGAGGGAUGAAAGCUGGGGGAGCGAACCGGAUUAGAUACCCGGGUAGUCCCAGCUGUAAACGAUGCAGGCUAGGUGUUUGGACGGCCACGUGCCGUUCUAGUGCCGCAGGGAAGCCGUUAAGCCUGCCGCCUGGGGAGUACGGCCGCAAGGCUGAAACUUAAGGGAAUUGGCGGGGGAGCACCACAAGGGGUGAAGCUUGCGGUUU
This 429-nucleotide ribosomal RNA is filed under the name uncultured archaeon. RNAcentral describes it as "bacterial SSU rRNA". It matches the Rfam family "Archaeal small subunit ribosomal RNA", at positions 474 to 903 of the family's 1478-position model. The record is from RNAcentral.